This 245-nucleotide small nuclear RNA is filed under the name Microtus ochrogaster (prairie vole). RNAcentral's name for it is "7SK RNA (ENSMOCG00000010467.1)". It matches the Rfam family "7SK RNA". From Rfam's summary of the family: 7SK was discovered as an abundant small nuclear RNA in the mid-70s but a possible function has only recently been suggested. Two independent studies have found that 7SK RNA binds the CDK9/cyclin T complex (known as elongation factor P-TEFb). Lineage: Eukaryota; Metazoa; Chordata; Mammalia; Rodentia; Cricetidae. The record is from RNAcentral.
CUGUGCAAGGGCAAUCUGACUGUCCUUUGUUGGUUCAUUGAUGGCCAGGGUUGACUCUGCUGAGCUGGCUGGCCAGGCAGUUUUCCCUCUCACAGCUGCACGCUGGGAGAGAUCCCCCCUCCACCUUGGAUCAAGGCUAUAGGAGUAGCUGUGCUCCCUGCCAGAACCUCCAAACAAGCUCUCAAGGUCCACCCGACCUUUCUAAGGGGAAACUCAUCCACAACAGAACAAGGAGUGAGGAUUUU